Molecule: ribosomal RNA, 755 nt
Filed under: Argasidae sp.
Lineage: Eukaryota; Metazoa; Arthropoda; Arachnida; Ixodida; Argasidae
Description: SSU rRNA
Rfam family: Eukaryotic small subunit ribosomal RNA
Source: RNAcentral
GGAAUGAGUACACUCUAAAUCCUUUAACGAGGAUCGAUUGGAGGGCAAGUCUGGUGCCAGCAGCCGCGGUAAUUCCAGCUCCAAUAGCGUAUGCUAAAGCUGCUGCGGUUAAAAAGCUCGUAGUUGGAUCUCAGUUACGGGCGGGUGGUGCAUCUACCCGAUGUGACAGCCCGAUCUGAACAUCUUACCUUCUAUCCUCUGGUGUCCUUCACUGGAUGCCUUUGGGUGGUCGGUGCAUUUACUUUGAAAAAAUUGGAGUGCUCAACGCAGGCGAAGUGCCUGAACACUUAUGCAUGGAAUAAUAGAACAAGACCCCGUUUCUGUUCUGUUGGUUUUUGGAAAACGAGGUAAUGAUCAAGAGGGACAGACGGGGGCAUUCGUAUUGCGGCGCUAGAGGUGAAAUUCUUGGACCGUCGCAAGACGAACUACAGCGAAAGCAUUUGCCAAGAAUGUUUUCAUUGAUCAAGAACGAAAGUUAGAGGUUCGAAGGCGAUCAGAUACCGCCCUAGUUCUAACCAUAAACGAUGCCAACCAGCAAUCCGCCUGAGUUACUCCAAUGACUCUGCGGGCAGCUUCCGGGAAACCAAAGUAUUUGGGUUCCGGGGGAAGUAUGGUUGCAAAGCUGAAACUUAAAGGAAUUGACGGAAGGGCACCACCAGGAGUGGAGCCUGCGGCUCAAUUUGACUCAACACGGGAAAACUUACCCGGCCCGGACACUGGGAGGAUUGACAGAUUGAGAGCUCUUUCUUGAUCGG